GCAGAGGAGCUUGCUCCUUGGNUGACGAGUGGCGGACGGNUGAGUAAUGUCUGGGAAACUGCCCAGAUGGAGGGGGAUAACUACUGGAAACGGUAGCCAAUACCGCAUAACGUCGCAAGACCAAAGAGGGGGACCUUCGGGCCUCUUGCCAUCGGAUGUGCCCAGAUGGGAUUAGCUAGUAGGUGGGGUAACGGCUCACCUAGGCGACGAUCCCUAGCUGGUCUGAGAGGAUGACCAGCCACACUGGAACUGAGACACGGUCCAGACUCCUACGGGAGGCAGCAGUGGGGAAUAUUGCACAAUGGGCGCAAGCCUGAUGCAGCCAUGCCGCGUGUAUGAAGAAGGCCUUCGGGUUGUAAAGUACUUUCAGCGAGGAGGAAGGCGUUGUGGUUAAUAACCGCAGCGAUUGACGUUACUCGCAGAAGANGCACCGGCUAACUCCGUGCCAGCAGCCGCGGUAAUACGGAGGGUGCAAGCGUUAAUCGGAAUUACU
Molecule: ribosomal RNA, 493 nt
Filed under: uncultured Enterobacter sp.
Lineage: Bacteria; Pseudomonadati; Pseudomonadota; Gammaproteobacteria; Enterobacterales; Enterobacteriaceae
Description: bacterial SSU rRNA
Rfam family: Bacterial small subunit ribosomal RNA
Source: RNAcentral